UACGUAGGGCGCAAGCGUUAUCCGGAAUUAUUGGGCGUAAAGAGCUCGUAGGCGGUUUGUUGCGUCGGCUGUGAAAUCCCGAGGCUCAACCUCGGGUCUGCAGUCGAUACGAGCAAACUAGAGUGUUGCAGGGGAGACUGGAAUUCCUGGUGUAGCGGUGAAAUGCGCAGAUAUCAGGAGGAACACCGGUGGCGAAGGCGGGUCUCUGGGCAACAACUGACGCUGAGGAGCGAAAGCGUGGGGAGCAAACAGG
RNAcentral lists this ribosomal RNA (253 nucleotides) under uncultured bacterium. RNAcentral describes it as "partial 16S ribosomal RNA". It matches the Rfam family "Bacterial small subunit ribosomal RNA", at positions 524 to 776 of the family's 1533-position model. The record is from RNAcentral.